RNAcentral lists this ribosomal RNA (497 nucleotides) under uncultured bacterium. RNAcentral's name for it is "bacterial SSU rRNA". It matches the Rfam family "Bacterial small subunit ribosomal RNA", at positions 29 to 524 of the family's 1533-position model. The record is from RNAcentral.
AACGAACGCUGGCGGCGUGCCUAACACAUGCAAGUCGUGCGAGAAAGUUCCUUCGGGAGCGAGUAAAGCGGCGCACGGGUGAGUAACACGUAGGUAACCUGCCCCCCAGUCUGGAACAACUAGAGGAAACUCUAGCUAAUGCCGGAUGAGACCACGAUCCCUUCGGGGGUUGCGGCCAAAGAUGGCCUCUACUUGUAAGCUAUCGCUGAGGGAUGGGCCUGCGGGCCAUUAGCUUGUUGGUGAGGUAACGGCUCACCAAGGCUGUGAUGGCUAGCUGGUCUGAGAGGAUGACCAGCCACACUGGGACUGAGACACGGCCCAGACUCCUACGGGAGGCAGCAGUGGGGAAUAUUGGACAAUGGGCGCAAGCCUGAUCCAGCAAUGCCGCGUGAGUGAUGAAGGCCUUAGGGUUGUAAAGCUCUUUCACCCGGGGUAAGAUAAUGACGGUGCCCGGAGAAGAAGCCCCGGGCUAACUCCGUGCCAGCAGCCGCGGUAAU